CACUGUUCCUCCUCUCUGAGGCUUUUCCCUCAGCUUUCCAGCCAGCUGCCUGUGACAUAGCCUGUAUUUUCCUCUGGGUGAUCCACAGGCCUGGGAGGGUUAAUUUGUGGAUCAAUCUUCCUGUCCUACAACUGACCAAGGAUCCCCUAAAGACCCCUGGAAGGCUGGACCAUGGCACAAGAACUGCCUUCAUCCAUCACCGGGAGCAAGUGUGGAAGAGAUGCAUCAACAUUUGGCGUGAUGUGGGCCUUUUUGGGGUGCUAAAUGAAAUUGCAAACUCAGAAGAAGAGGCUCAGGAGCGAAGAUCUGAUCGCUGAAUUUGCCCAAGUCACAAAUUGGUCCAGCUGCUGCUUGCGUGUCUUUGCAUGGCACCCCCACACCAACAAGUUUGCAGUGGCCCUGCUAGAUGACUCAGUCCGUGUGUAUAAUGCCAGCAGCACCAUAGUCCCCUCCCUGAAGCACCGGCUGCAGCGAAAUGUGGCGUCUCUGGCCUGGAAGCCCCUUAGUGCCUCUGUCUUGGCUGUGGCCUGCCAGAGCUGCAUUCUUAUCUGGACCCUGGACCCUACCUCCUUGUCUACCCGACCCUCUUCUGGCUGUGCCCAAGUGCUGUCUCACCCUGGGCAUACACCUGUUACCAGCUUGGCCUGGGCCCCCAGUGGGGGGCGGCUGCUCUCAGCUUCACCCGUGGAUGCUGCUAUCCGGGUAUGGGAUGUCUCAACAGAGACCUGUGUCCCCCUUCCCUGGUUUCGAGGAGGUGGGGUGACCAACCUGCUCUGGUCCCCAGACGGCAGCAAAAUCCUGGCUACCACUCCUUCAGCUGUCUUUCG
RNAcentral lists this small RNA (827 nucleotides) under Pan troglodytes (chimpanzee). RNAcentral's name for it is "processed transcript". Lineage: Eukaryota; Metazoa; Chordata; Mammalia; Primates; Hominidae. The record is from RNAcentral.